Molecule: ribosomal RNA, 211 nt
Filed under: uncultured bacterium
Lineage: Bacteria
Description: partial 16S ribosomal RNA
Rfam family: Bacterial small subunit ribosomal RNA
Source: RNAcentral
UACGGAGGGUGCAAGCGUUAAUCGGAUUUACUGGGCGUAAAGCGCACGUAGGCGGUCUGUCAAGUCGGAUGUGAAAUCCCCGGGCUCAACCCGGGAACUGCAUUGGAAACUGGCAGACUAGAGUGCUGGAGAGGGGAGUGGAAUUCCAAGUGUAGCGGUGAAAUGCGUAGAUAUUGGGAGGAACACCGGUGGCGAAGGCGGCUCCCUGGAC